This 521-nucleotide ribosomal RNA is filed under the name uncultured archaeon. Its description in RNAcentral is "bacterial SSU rRNA". It matches the Rfam family "Archaeal small subunit ribosomal RNA", at positions 79 to 601 of the family's 1478-position model. The record is from RNAcentral.
AGGCUGACGGCUCAGUAACACGUAGUCAACCUAACCUAUGGACGGGGAUAACCUCGGGAAACUGAGAAUAAUACCCGAUAGAUCAUGGUGCCUGGAACGGUUUAUGGUUCAAAUGAUUUAUCGCCAUAGGAUGGGACUGCGGUCUAUCAGCUUGUUGGUGAGGUAAUGGCCCACCAAGGCUAUAACAGAUACGGGCUCUGAGAGGAGGGGCCCGGAGAUGGGUACUGGGACACGGACCCAGGUCCUAUGGGGCGCAGCAGGCGAGAAACCUUUGCAAUGUGCGAAAGCACGACAAGGUUAAUCCGAGUGAUUUCUGCUAAAGAAAUCUUUUGUUAGUCAUAAAACCACUGAUGAAUAAGGGGUGGGCAAGUUCUGGUGUCAGCCGCCGCGGUAAUACCAGCACCUCUAGUGGUCAGGAGGUUUAUUGGGCCUAAAGCAUCCGUAGCCGGCUGUCCUAGUUUCCGGUUAAAUCCACACGCUUAACGUAUGGGCUGCCGGAAAUACUGUUCAGCUAGGGAGUG